This is a long non-coding RNA of Selaginella moellendorffii, 237 nucleotides long. RefSeq lists it as uncharacterized. The record is from RefSeq and is a predicted model, not a curated record. NCBI's taxonomy places the organism in Eukaryota, Viridiplantae, Streptophyta, Lycopodiopsida, Selaginellales, Selaginellaceae. The transcript has 3 exons.
UGACCAGUGUUUUUUGGAUUUUGGCGGGAACAUUUAGGUUUAGGUCUAGGUGCUUGGCUAUGGCGGUUCUUUGGCGAUCUCGUUUCUCAGGAUCCGGCAGCGAAGAUGUAGCAGUUGUAUUGGAUAAUUUGAUCUAUUGGAGGCUUUCCAACUGGAGAAGUUAAGACUUUGGAUGAUAUGUCUGAGUUCCAGGGAGCGAAGAUAGUAGUAUUGCGCAGUUCAAUCUUAAGUUUGUGC